This 1713-nucleotide unclassified non-coding RNA is filed under the name Penaeus chinensis. RNAcentral's name for it is "deoxynucleoside kinase-like, transcript variant X2". The record is from RNAcentral. Lineage: Eukaryota; Metazoa; Arthropoda; Malacostraca; Decapoda; Penaeidae.
AAGAUCUUGCAAGAGUGACAACCAGACCACAAACCCCUUUUAUUUCACUUUCUCCGCCCCAGAGAGCACGAUUUAGCGUUUUUCUUCCUCCUCUUUCGCCUCUAGAGACAAGGAAGAAUAGAAGAGAGGUCCUCCAUGAGAUAUCAGUCAUGGUGGAAGGUGCUGUUGGCGCCAAUUUUCUCAAAAGGGAAGAACUUGGCGGGAAAUUCUCAGUAUUUGAAGAGACGGGGUCGAGGAACGACGUUCAGGAUGUGUUCAAACGUGUUAACCGAGUCGCCGAUGAAGCUGGUCACUGCAGACGAACCAGCGGCAGAUGGCCUAAGAGGUCGUGACCUUGUUAACCAUGCCAUGAGAAGCAUCUUUGCCACCUCUCCAGCGAAGUCACCCAAGAAGAGGGAAGCCGACAGCCAGUCGUCUGCACCCCAGGCUGGACUGUCACUGCUGCCCGCAUCUCUCCUCCUGCAGAAGAGCUUUGGUCUUAUUGCCUCUGAGGCUCCUUCAGAAAAGAGGAAAAGAUCCAGGCCCUUCACAGUGUCAAUUGAAGGGAAUAUAGGAAGUGGCAAGUCCACCUUCCUUCAGUACUUUUCAGCUCUACCAGGUGUAGCUACUUAUCAGGAACCUCUAAAUCUUUGGACUAAUCUCCAUGGCCACAAUCUACUAGGGAAGUUGUACGAAGACCCCAAACGCUGGAGUUUCCUUUUCCAGUCCUAUGUCCAGUUGACUCGAUUAAAUAUUCACCUUCAACAGUGCAACAGUCCUGUCAAGCUUAUAGAGAGAUCAUUGCAAAAUAACAGAUAUUGUUUUGUGGAAAGUGGCCAUGAUUCUGGAGAACUGCAUGGGGCAGAGUAUAGUGUGCUAUGCGAAUACUACGAUCUGCUUGAGUCAAAUCUUGAUAUUGGAAUAGACUUAAUAGUAUACUUAAGAUCAACACCAGAAACCGUACACAGCAGGAUGCUUGAGCGAGGUCGGUCGGAAGAAGCAGGUGUUCCAUUGGGGUAUCUCAAGCAGGUUCACAACUACUACGAGAAUUGGUUACUAGAGCAUAAACCUCGUGCACCCCCAGCCCCAGUACUUGUAAUUGAUGCCGACAAGGACUUGGAAAAGGUCAAGGAGGAGUACAGACAAAAAAAAGAAGUUAUUAUGGGAGAAAAACCUUUAUAAUGAAGGCUGUAAAUCAUGGUCUUUAUUUCAUGCGUGUGUGUCUUUAUGAUAUAUAGAUUGUGAAGUAUUUUCUUUGAACUUACCAUCCAUCUUGCUGGUGAAAACAGUGUAUGUUUAACUACAUAUUUAAUGUGUAAAACUAGGGUUGGUUUGGUAAUUAGGAAAUAAGGUUACCUGAACUACGGAUUUUGAUGAGGAUUUACUUCAAGCAAAGCUAUAUUAAGUAAAUGGUAAGGAGUCCUUGUUUUUACAUUUUAACAUUUAGUAGGAACAUUAAAGAAAAGAUCUCUUGACAAUUGGUAUGCUUUCACUUCGGUUGAAAGCAAAUAUAAUCUGCUUUAGUCAUAAAGGCAAAUUUUAAAAAGGACUUUGUUCUUAUUAAUCUGGUCAAAAGAGAUUCUUUAGUAAAUGUAUAUUAAGAUGUAUUUAUAAUGUACAAGAAGAAAUAUAUAGUUGUUUCAUUACUUUUAUACUAAGUAUAUUUAUAUAUAUAAAUCACUAAGGUACAUUCUAAGAAUGUAAGCAGUACAAAAAUAAAGCUACUGAAGUAUA